UACGUAGGUGACCAGCGUUGUCCGGAUUUACUGGGCGUAAAGAGCGCGCAGGCGGUCGUUCAAGUCGAGUGUGAAAGCCCCCGGCUCAACUGGGGAGGGUCACUUGAUACUGAUCGACUCGAAGGCAGGAGAGGGAAGCGGAAUUCCCGGUGUAGUGGUGAAAUGCGUAGAUAUCGGGAGGAGCACCAGUGGCGAAGGCGGCUUCCUGGCCUGUUCUUGACGCUGAGGCGCGAAAGCUAGGGGAGCAAACGGG
This 253-nucleotide ribosomal RNA is filed under the name uncultured bacterium. RNAcentral describes it as "partial 16S ribosomal RNA". It matches the Rfam family "Bacterial small subunit ribosomal RNA", at positions 524 to 776 of the family's 1533-position model. The record is from RNAcentral.